AUAGUUUCAGGUUUUGUGUUUGAAUCUUUGGUUCAUUUUUACUUGAUUUUAUAUAUGUUGUAAGGUAACGUUUUUGCAUGUUGAUAUUUCAAUUCUUUUUUGCAUGUAGAUAUUCAGAUUCAUAGCACCAUUUGUUUAAAGCAUGCUUUUCUUCUUUACCCUGUUUUUCUGUCUUGGUUCAUGAAACAGGAACUUCUUUAAAUUCUUUUAAACUCUCACCCUCUUGGGCAGUAAUUGAGGAAAGGACUUCCACCUUUCUCUCUUGCCUAUUCCUAGCUGCAUUCCAUUGUAGGAGAGACUUUUUGGAUUACUGUUUAUGUUUCACAUCGCUUGCUUCACUCCUCGGCCAUGUGAUAGCCUCAUAUCAGAACCCAGCUUGAACAAACUAAGCCAAGGCUCUCUGCUCAUUUGCUGACUUUAAUGAAAGGACACCCAAGUGGCAAGAACUGAAAGAGGCUUGUAGGAAUUGGGGAUGGCCUCUAGCCAGCAACCUGCAAGAUUAUGAGGCUGUCAGUCCUACAACUAUAAGGAAAUAAAUCCUGCUGACAACCUGAAAGAGCUUAUAGCAUGGGAGGGGUUGAUGUGGAUCAUUGGAAAAUACAGUCUGCCACAAAUGGACAUAAACGAAAGUCUCCUUAUAGAUAGUUAAGAAAGCCAUGUUGGUUCACCACAUGUAUCACAUCCUGAUAAUGUGAAGUGAAAAAGUAAAGCCUGGAAGCCUUUGUAAGACGACUGUGCCAGAGGAGGAAGAUAAAUAUCUCGAUGCUAUGGAGGCCUGUCAGCUCUUUGAAGUACCUGGGCAAUAUCAAGAUUUCUACUUCAGAUGAAAAAACAAACAGUUAUUCAUUGACCCUGUUGCUGACAAGAAAGAGGUGAAAGGUGAGCCCCCAGCCACGGAAAGAUCCAGCCAAGUAAGGAACUGCAAAAUACUGAAUGACUAAUUCUCCAAACAAGG
RNAcentral lists this non-coding RNA (955 nucleotides) under Pongo abelii (Sumatran orangutan). The record is from RNAcentral. Lineage: Eukaryota; Metazoa; Chordata; Mammalia; Primates; Hominidae.